RNAcentral lists this unclassified non-coding RNA (390 nucleotides) under Hevea brasiliensis (rubber tree). Lineage: Eukaryota; Viridiplantae; Streptophyta; Magnoliopsida; Malpighiales; Euphorbiaceae. The record is from RNAcentral.
GACAGCUUGGCCUAAAAAUUAAAAUUUAUGCAUAGUGGAUCAUAUGAUGCAAUGAAAAAAAAUGCAAUCUUUGUUGUCUAAUAGAAGAAACUGUGAGAUGAAAACUGCCACUGUUUUAGAUCUGUCCAAUGAGAUAGUGAACUUUAACUCACUUGAUCUGCUAAACCAGCACAAGUUUGCUAAAAGUUAUAUGCCUGUGAAACUAAGGAGGACGUUAGAAUAUGGAUGUUUAAACUUUUAACUUCCUCUUUCUGAAAGGUAUUUCUACAUAUGAGAUAUUGAAUUUUUUUCUUAAGUUUACCUAAAUUCUGAUAUUAUUAAAACUGAAGUGAAGAUUUCAAGUCUCGUGAUUUUAGUGAAAUUUGUUGGUUUAUUUAGUUGGUGUCCCUG